This 411-nucleotide ribosomal RNA is filed under the name Actinomycetes bacterium. RNAcentral's name for it is "Actinobacteria bacterium partial 16S ribosomal RNA". It matches the Rfam family "Bacterial small subunit ribosomal RNA", at positions 355 to 776 of the family's 1533-position model. The record is from RNAcentral. Lineage: Bacteria; Bacillati; Actinomycetota; Actinomycetes.
UGGGGAAUAUUGCACAAUGGGCGCAAGCCUGAUGCAGCGACGCCGCGUGGGGGAUGACGGCCUUCGGGUUGUAAACUCCUUUCGCUAGGGACGAAGCUUUUUGUGACGGUACCUAGAUAAGAAGCACCGGCUAACCACGUGCCAGCAGCCGCGGUAAUACGUAGGGUGCGGGCGUUGUCCGGAAUUACUGGGCGUAAAGGGCUCGUAGGUGGUUUGUCGCGUCGUCUGUGAAAUUCCGGGGCUUAACUCCGGGCGUGCAGGCGAUACGGGCAUAACUUGAGUACUGUAGAGGUAACUGGAAUUCCUGGUGUAGCGGUGAAAUGCGCAGAUAUCAGGAGGAACACCGAUGGCGAGGGCAGGUUACUGGGCAGUUACUGACGCUGAGGAGCGAAAGCAUGGGUAGCGAACAGG